This 2325-nucleotide ribosomal RNA is filed under the name Listeria monocytogenes. RNAcentral's name for it is "partial 23S ribosomal RNA". It matches the Rfam family "Bacterial large subunit ribosomal RNA", at positions 607 to 2925 of the family's 2925-position model. The record is from RNAcentral. Lineage: Bacteria; Bacillati; Bacillota; Bacilli; Caryophanales; Listeriaceae.
UUUGUAGAAUGAACCGGCGAGUUACGAUUUGUUGCAAGGUUAAGCGGAAAAAGCGGAGCCGUAGCGAAAGCGAGUCUGAAUAGGGCGCAUAAGUAACAGGUCGUAGACCCGAAACCAGGUGAUCUACCCAUGUCCAGGAUGAAGGUAAGGUAAUACUUACUGGAGGUCCGAACCCACGCACGUUGAAAAGUGCGGGGAUGAGGUGUGGGUAGCGGAGAAAUUCCAAUCGAACUUGGAGAUAGCUGGUUCUCUCCGAAAUAGCUUUAGGGCUAGCCUCGAGGUAAAGAGUCAUGGAGGUAGAGCACUGUUUGGACUAGGGGCCCUUCUCGGGUUACCGAAUUCAGAUAAACUCCGAAUGCCAUGUACUUAUACUCGGGAGUCAGACUGCGAGUGAUAAGAUCCGUAGUCGAAAGGGAAACAGCCCAGACCACCAGUUAAGGUCCCCAAAUAUAUGUUAAGUGGAAAAGGAUGUGGGGUUGCUUAGACAACCAGGAUGUUGGCUUAGAAGCAGCCACCAUUGAAAGAGUGCGUAAUAGCUCACUGGUCGAGUGACCCCGCGCCGAAAAUGUACCGGGGCUAAACAUAUUACCGAAACUGUGGAUGAACCUCUUUAGAGGUUCGUGGUAGGAGAGCGUUCUAAGGGCGGUGAAGUCAGACCGGAAGGACUGGUGGAGCGCUUAGAAGUGAGAAUGCCGGUAUGAGUAGCGAAAGAAGGGUGAGAAUCCCUUCCACCGAAUAUCUAAGGUUUCCUGAGGAAGGCUCGUCCGCUCAGGGUUAGUCGGGACCUAAGCCGAGGCCGAUAGGCGUAGGCGAUGGACAACAGGUAGAGAUUCCUGUACCAGUGCUAAUUGUUUAACCGAUGGGGUGACACAGAAGGAUAGGGAAUCGCACGAAUGGAAAUGUGCGUCCAAGCAGUGAGUGUGAGAAGUAGGCAAAUCCGCUUCUCACGAAGCAUGAGCUGUGAUGGGGAAGGAAAUUAAGUACGGAAGUUCCUGAUUUCACGCUGUCAAGAAAAGCCUCUAGGAAGAGUAGUACUGCCCGUACCGCAAACCGACACAGGUAGAUGAGGAGAGAAUCCUAAGGUGAGCGAGAGAACUCUCGUUAAGGAACUCGGCAAAAUGACCCCGUAACUUCGGGAGAAGGGGUGCUCUAUUAGGGUGCAAGCCCGAGAGAGCCGCAGUGAAUAGGCCCAGGCGACUGUUUAGCAAAAACACAGGUCUCUGCAAAACCGUAAGGUGACGUAUAGGGGCUGACGCCUGCCCGGUGCUGGAAGGUUAAGAGGAGUGCUUAGCUUCGGCGAAGGUACGAAUUGAAGCCCCAGUAAACGGCGGCCGUAACUAUAACGGUCCUAAGGUAGCGAAAUUCCUUGUCGGGUAAGUUCCGACCCGCACGAAAGGCGCAACGAUCUGGGCACUGUCUCAACGAGAGACUCGGUGAAAUUAUAGUACCUGUGAAGAUGCAGGUUACCCGCGACAGGACGGAAAGACCCCGUGGAGCUUUACUGCAACCUGAUAUGGAAUGUUUGUACCGCUUGUACAGGAUAGGUAGGAGCCGAAGAGACGUGUGCGCUAGCAUACGAGGAGGCAAUGGUGGGAUACUACCCUGGCUGUAUGACCAUUCUAACCCGCCACGCUUAGCGCGUGGGGAGACAGUGUCAGGUGGGCAGUUUGACUGGGGCGGUCGCCUCCUAAAGAGUAACGGAGGCGCCCAAAGGUUCCCUCAGAAUGGAUGGAAAUCAUUCGCAGAGUGUAAAGGCACAAGGGAGCUUGACUGCGAGACUGACAAGUCGAGCAGGGACGAAAGUCGGGCUUAGUGAUCCGGUGGUUCCGCAUGGAAGGGCCAUCGCUCAACGGAUAAAAGCUACCCCGGGGAUAACAGGCUUAUCUCCCCCAAGAGUCCACAUCGACGGGGAGGUUUGGCACCUCGAUGUCGGCUCGUCGCAUCCUGGGGCUGUAGUCGGUCCCAAGGGUUGGGCUGUUCGCCCAUUAAAGCGGCACGCGAGCUGGGUUCAGAACGUCGUGAGACAGUUCGGUCCCUAUCCGUCGCGGGCGCAGGAAAUUUGAGAGGAGCUGUCCUUAGUACGAGAGGACCGGGAUGGACACACCGCUGGUGUACCAGUUGUUCCGCCAGGAGCAUCGCUGGGUAGCUAUGUGUGGCAGGGAUAAACGCUGAAAGCAUCUAAGCGUGAAGCCCCCCUCAAGAUGAGAUUUCCCAUUUCUUCGGAAAGUAAGAUCCCUGAAAGAUGAUCAGGUAGAUAGGUUUGGAGUGGAAGUGUAGCGAUACAUGGAGCGGACAAAUACUAAUCGAUCGAGGACUUAACCAAAA